Molecule: unclassified non-coding RNA, 252 nt
Filed under: Chaetothyriales sp.
Lineage: Eukaryota; Fungi; Ascomycota; Eurotiomycetes; Chaetothyriales
Description: partial contains small subunit ribosomal RNA, internal transcribed spacer 1, and 5.8S ribosomal RNA
Rfam family: Eukaryotic small subunit ribosomal RNA (bases 1-46)
Source: RNAcentral
AAGUCGUAACAAGGUUUCCGUAGGUGAACCUGCGGAAGGAUCAUUACCGAGUUAGGGUCUCUCAGGCCCGACCUCCAACCCUGUGUUUAUUCUACCCUGUUGCUUUGGCGGGCCCGCCUUUAGGGGGCCGUCGGGGGUUAUCUAACCCCUGAUCAGUGCCCGCCAGUAGCCUUCAAAAACUCUUGUAUAACUGUGUCGUCUGAGUCUUAAUUAAAAUCGUUAAAACUUUCAACAACGGAUCUCUUGGUUCUG